CCUACGGGGGGCAGCAGUAGGGAAUAUUGCUCAAUGGGGGAAACCCUGAAGCAGCAACGCCGCGUGGAGGAUGAAGGUUUUCGGAUUGUAAACUCCUUUUGUUAGAGAAGAUAAUGACGGUAUCUAACGAAUAAGCACCGGCUAACUACGUGCCAGCAGCCGCGGUAAUACGGAGGGUGCAAGCGUUACUCGGAAUCACUGGGCGUAAAGAGCGCGUAGGCGGGAUAGCAAGUCAGAUGUGAAAUCCUAUGGCUUAACCAUAGAACUGCAUUUGAAACUGUUAUUCUAGAGUAUGGGAGAGGUAGGCGGAAUGCUUGGUGUAGGGGUAAAAUGCGUAGAGAUCAAGAGGAAUACUCAUUGCGAAGGCGACCUGCUAGAACAUAACUGACGCUGAUGCGCGAAAGCGUGGGGAGCAAACAGGAUUAGAUACCCCGGUAGUC
RNAcentral lists this ribosomal RNA (440 nucleotides) under uncultured bacterium. Its description in RNAcentral is "partial 16S ribosomal RNA". It matches the Rfam family "Bacterial small subunit ribosomal RNA", at positions 338 to 795 of the family's 1533-position model. The record is from RNAcentral.